GUGCUUGCUUCAGCAGAACAUAUUUUAAAAUUGAAACAAUACAGAGAAGAUUAGCAUGGCACCUGAGCAAGGAUGACAACCAAAUUGAUGAAGCAUUCCGUGUUUUG
Small nuclear RNA from Otolemur garnettii (small-eared galago), 107 nucleotides. NCBI's taxonomy places the organism in Eukaryota, Metazoa, Chordata, Mammalia, Primates, Galagidae. The record is from Ensembl.